GAUGAAGAACGUAGCGAAAUGCGAUAAGUAAUGUGAAUUGCAGAAUUCAGUGAAUCAUCGAAUCUUUGAACGCACCUUGCGCUCCUUGGUAUUCCGAGGAGCAUGCCUGUUUGAGUGUCAUGAAAUUCUCAACCUUUUCAGCUUUCUUUGUUGAUCAGGCUUGGAUGUGGGAGUAUGCGGGCUUCUCAGAAGUCGGCUCUCCUGAAAUGCAUUAGCGGGACCUUUGUUGCCUGGCUUUGGUGUGAUAAUUAUCUACGCCAUUGUAGUCAAGCAGCUUAAAAUGAGGUUUCAGCUUCUAACCGUCUCCCCUGAGACAACUUUUUGACAAUUUGACCUCAAAUCAGGUAGGACUACCCGCUGAACUUAAGCAUAUCAAUAGCGGAGGA
This 386-nucleotide unclassified non-coding RNA is filed under the name soil metagenome. RNAcentral's name for it is "partial contains 5.8S ribosomal RNA, internal transcribed spacer 2, and large subunit ribosomal RNA". The stretch from base 1 to 120 matches the Rfam family "5.8S ribosomal RNA", at positions 35 to 154 of the family's 154-position model. The record is from RNAcentral.